GGAGCAGUCAGUCUUAAUAUAGCAACGGGCACGACGUUCGGCUUUUUAAACUGCGUAUGCGUGGGUGGUACAUGAUCACAGGGCUGAGUUUUGAGCGUGUGUUAUAUCGGGACUCCUCUCAAAUUCACUUCACUAACUUGUGUCAAAUCCCAAAACAUCCUGUGCUAACUUUACGCCUACGGGGCACCGAGCUAAGCUAAACGCUAGCUCGCUAACUAGUGGGAGGAAGCUGCUACUCGCUUUGCCACAAUUUAAAUGUCUUUGUUCGCGUAGGUUAAUGGCCCCGGGUCUCUAACCUAAAAUGUCUGUUUCUGGAAUGUGAAAGGAAGCAUGGGGAGAACAUGCAAACUCAACACAAGAAGGCAGCAACCUGGAUUCAAACCCACGACCUUUGAACUGUUAGGCAGACAUGCUAAUAUAAUACGUAUUAAAUGUAUAAUAUAUAUGAUUAAUAAAUAUAAUACAUAAAUUUGUCA
Molecule: long non-coding RNA, 476 nt
Organism: Phyllopteryx taeniolatus (common seadragon)
Lineage: Eukaryota; Metazoa; Chordata; Actinopteri; Syngnathiformes; Syngnathidae
Exons: 2
Source: RefSeq, a predicted model, not a curated record